Molecule: ribosomal RNA, 395 nt
Filed under: uncultured bacterium
Lineage: Bacteria
Description: partial 16S ribosomal RNA
Rfam family: Bacterial small subunit ribosomal RNA
Source: RNAcentral
UGGGGAAUAUUGCACAAUGGGCGCAAGCCUGAUGCAGCCAUGCCGCGUGUGUGAAGAAGGCCUUCGGGUUGUAAAGCACUUUCAGCGAGGGGGAAGGGUUCAGUGUUAAUAGCACUGUGCAUUGACGUUACUCGCAGAAGAAGCACCGGCUAACUCCGUGCCAGCAGCCGCGGUAAUACGGAGGGUGCAAGCGUUAAUCGGAAUUACUGGGCGUAAAGCGCACGCAGGCGGUUUGUUAAGUCAGAUGUGAAAUCCCCGCGCUUAACGUGGGAACUGCACUUGAAACUGGCAAGCUAGAGUCUUGUAGAGGGGGGUAGAAUUCCAGGUGUAGCGGUGAAAUGCGUAGAGAUCUGGAGGAAUACCGGUGCGAAGGCGGCCCCCUGGACAAAGACUGA